AGAGUUUGAUCCCAUGGCUCAGGAUGAACGCUGGCGGCGUGCUUAACACAUGCAAGUCGAACGAUGAAGCCCAGCUUGCUGGGUGGAUUAGUGGCGAACGGGUGAGUAACACGUGAGUAACCUGCCCUUAACUCUGGGAUAAGCCUGGGAAACUGGGUCUAAUACCGGAUAGGAGCGUCCACCGCAUGGUGGGUGUUGGAAAGAUUUAUCGGUUUUGGAUGGACUCGCGGCCUAUCAGCUUGUUGGUGAGGUAAUGGCUCACCAAGGCGACGACGGGUAGCCGGCCUGAGAGGGUGACCGGCCACACUGGGACUGAGACACGGCCCAGACUCCUACGGGAGGCAGCAGUGGGGAAUAUUGCACAAUGGGCGCAAGCCUGAUGCAGCGACGCCGCGUGAGGGAUGACGGCCUUCGGGUUGUAAACCUCUUUCAGUAGGGAAGAAGCGAAAGUGACG
Molecule: ribosomal RNA, 455 nt
Filed under: Micrococcus luteus
Lineage: Bacteria; Bacillati; Actinomycetota; Actinomycetes; Micrococcales; Micrococcaceae
Description: bacterial SSU rRNA
Rfam family: Bacterial small subunit ribosomal RNA
Source: RNAcentral